AGCGAACGCUGGCGGCAGGCCUAACACAUGCAAGUCGAACGAACCUUUCGGGGUUAGUGGCGGACGGGUGAGUAACACGUGGGAACGUGCCUUUAGGUUCGGAAUAACUCAGGGAAACUUGUGCUAAUACCGAAUGUGCCCUUCGGGGGAAAGAUUUAUCGCCUUUAGAGCGGCCCGCGUCUGAUUAGCUAGUUGGUUGAGGUAAUGGCUCACCAAGGCGACGAUCAGUAGCUGGUCUGAGAGGAUGAUCAGCCACAUUGGGACUGAGACACGGCCCAAACUCCUACGGGAGGCAGCAGUGGGGAAUCUUGCGCAAUGGGCGAAAGCCUGACGCAGCCAUGCCGCGUGAAUGAUGAAGGUCUUAGGAUUGUAAAUUCUUUCAACGGGGACGAUAAUGACGGUACCCGGAGAAGAAGCCCCGGCUAACUUCGUG
RNAcentral lists this ribosomal RNA (433 nucleotides) under uncultured bacterium. RNAcentral's name for it is "partial 16S ribosomal RNA". It matches the Rfam family "Bacterial small subunit ribosomal RNA", at positions 29 to 507 of the family's 1533-position model. The record is from RNAcentral.